AUACGUAGGGGGCAAGCGCUAUCCGGAUUUACUGGGUGUAAAGGGAGCGUAGACGGCGAAGCAAGUCUGACGUGAAAGGACGGGGCCCAACCCCGGAACUGCUUUGGAAACUGUUUGGCUGGAGUGCGGGCGGGGUAAGCGGAAUUCCUAGUGUAGCGGUGAAAUGCGUAGAUAUUAGGAGGAACACCGGUGGCGAAGGCGGCUUACUGGACCGUAACUGACGUUGAGGCUCGAAGGCGUGGGGAGCAAACAGGAUUAGAUACCCUGGUAGUCCACGCGGUAAACGAUGAUCACUAUGUGUCCGUGGGUAUGACCCAUGGGUGCCGCAGCCAACGCAAUAAGUGAUCCACCUGGGGAGUACGUUCGCAAGAAUGAAACUCAAAUGAAUUGACGGGG
Molecule: ribosomal RNA, 396 nt
Filed under: uncultured bacterium
Lineage: Bacteria
Description: partial 16S ribosomal RNA
Rfam family: Bacterial small subunit ribosomal RNA
Source: RNAcentral